AACGCACCUUGCGCUCCUGGGCUAUUCCUAGGAGCAUGCCUGUUUGAGUGUCGUGAAAUCAUCAACCCCAGUUGGAUUUGAAAUUUGACUGGUGGCUUGGACUUGGGGGUUUGCUGGCCGUUUUGAUUCGGUCUGGCUCCCCUUGAAUGUAUUAGCUGGUGCCUCUGGUUAACCAUCUAUUGGUGUGAUAAUUAUCUACGCCGUGGAUGUUAGCCGUCUUAUAGGUGCACUGCUUCUAACCGUCUGUUCAUUCGGACAAUCUCAUUGACAUUUUGACCUCAAAUCAGGUAGGACUACCCGCUGAACUUAA
This 310-nucleotide ribosomal RNA is filed under the name uncultured fungus. RNAcentral describes it as "eukaryotic LSU rRNA". Lineage: Eukaryota; Fungi. The record is from RNAcentral.